GCAGCCGCGGUAAUACGGAGGGUGCGAGCGUUAAUCGGAAUUACUGGGCGUAAAGGGUGCGUAGGUGGUUGAAUAAGUUAUCUGUGAAAUCCCUGGGCUCAACCUGGGAAGGUCAGAUAAGACUGUUUGACUCGAGUAUGGGAGAGGGUAGUGGAAUUUCCGGUGUAGCGGUGAAAUGCGUAGAGAUCGGAAGGAACACCAGUGGCGAAGGCGGCUACCUGGCCUAAUACUGACACUGAAGCACGAAAGCGUGGGGAGCAAACAGGAUUAGAUACCCUGGUAGUCCACGCCGUAAACGAUGUCAACUAGCUGUUGGAA
This 318-nucleotide ribosomal RNA is filed under the name uncultured Legionella sp. RNAcentral's name for it is "bacterial SSU rRNA". It matches the Rfam family "Bacterial small subunit ribosomal RNA", at positions 511 to 828 of the family's 1533-position model. The record is from RNAcentral. Lineage: Bacteria; Pseudomonadati; Pseudomonadota; Gammaproteobacteria; Legionellales; Legionellaceae.